Molecule: long non-coding RNA, 200 nt
Filed under: Solanum tuberosum (potato)
Lineage: Eukaryota; Viridiplantae; Streptophyta; Magnoliopsida; Solanales; Solanaceae
Description: long non-coding RNA (STUB_LNC004757)
Source: RNAcentral
AUUCUCUCUUUUCUUUUGUUCGCUUUCCGGUUUCCCUUAUUUUCUAUUUGCUGCAGUAAAUGAGACUGGGAGUGGGAUUUCCUUUAUAACUUUCGCUCCGUUGAUCGAUCAACAAUUCACUUCUUUAGGAAGGAGCUGAGAGGGUUCAGACCGGGGUGAUUUCACGAGUAGAUGGCCCGGCAUUCAAGCAAUCAAUCAUU